Molecule: ribosomal RNA, 301 nt
Filed under: uncultured bacterium
Lineage: Bacteria
Description: partial 16S ribosomal RNA
Rfam family: Bacterial small subunit ribosomal RNA
Source: RNAcentral
CAGCAGCCACGGGAAUACGAGGGGGGCAAGCGUUGUUCGGAAUUAUUGGGCGUAAAGGGUGCGUAGGCGGUUUGGCAAGUUUGGUGUGAAAUCUUCGGGCUCAACUCGAAGUCUGCAUCGAAAACUGCCGGGCUUGAGUAUGGGAGAGGUGAGUGGAAUUUCCGGUGUAGCGGUGAAAUGCGUAGAUAUCGGAAGGAACACCUGUGGCGAAAGCGGCUCACUGGACCAUAACUGACGCUGAUGCACGAAAGCUAGGGGAGCAAACAGGAUUAGAUACCCGCGUAGUCCCUGUCUCUUAUAC